RNAcentral lists this ribosomal RNA (909 nucleotides) under Pyrenula aspistea. Its description in RNAcentral is "LSU rRNA". It matches the Rfam family "Eukaryotic large subunit ribosomal RNA", at positions 40 to 959 of the family's 3401-position model. The record is from RNAcentral. Lineage: Eukaryota; Fungi; Ascomycota; Eurotiomycetes; Pyrenulales; Pyrenulaceae.
AUAUCANUAAGCGGAGGAAAAGAAACCAACCGGGAUUGCCUUAGUAACGGCGAGUGAAGCGGCAACAGCUCAAAUUUGAAAUCUGGCCCCUCCGGGGUCCGAGUUGUAAUUUGUAGAGGAUGCUUCGGGCAACGCUGCGGUCCAAGUCCCUUGGAACAGGGCGUCACAGAGGGUGAGAAUCCCGUCCUCAACCGUGAGCCGCGUCCAUGUGAAGCUCCUUCGACGAGUCGGGUUGUUUGGGAAUGCAGCUCAAAAUGGGUGGUAAAUUUCAUCUAAAGCUAAAUAUUGGCCAGAGACCGAUAGCGCACAAGUAGAGUGAUCGAAAGAUGAAAAGCACUUUGAAAAGAGAGUUAAACAGCAUGUGAAAUUGUUGAAAGGGAAGCGCUUGCAGCCAGACUUGUGGGCGGUGAUUCAGCCGUUCUUCCGAUCGGUGCACUUUGCCGUCUCCAGGCCAGCAUCGGUUUGGGCAGCCAGUUAAAGGCCGCGGGAAUGUAUCGACCCUCCGGGGUCGACUUAUAGCCCGGGGUGCCAUGUGGCUCGUCGAGACCGAGGUACGCGCUCUGCACGGAUGCUGGCGUAAUGGCUGUAAGCGACCCGUCUUGAAACACGGACCAAGGAGUCUAACAUCUAUGCGAGUGUUCGGGUGUCAAACCCUUGCGCGUAAUGAAAGUGAACGGAGGUAGGAACCCCUUUCGGGGCGCACUAUCGACCGAUCCUGAUGUUCUCGGAUGGAUUUGAGUAAGAGCAUAGCUGUUGGGACCCGAAAGAUGGUGAACUAUGCGUGUAUAGGGUGAAGCCAGAGGAAACUCUGGUGGAGGCUCGCAGCGGUUCUGACGUGCAAAUCGAUCGUCAAAUACGCGUAUAGGGGCGAAAGACUAAUCGAACCAUUGUCGCGACCAGGUGGUUCCG